GACGAACGUUGGCGGCGUGCUUAACACAUGCAAGUGGAGCGACGAACCAGGGCUUGCCCCGGGGCAGAGCCGCGAACGGGUGAGUAACACGUGGGUAACGUGCCCCAAUGAUCGGGACAACCCGGGGAAACCCGGGCUAAUACCGAAUGUGCUCCCCUCACACCAGUGAGGGGUGGAAAGGAAGCUUCGGCCUCCGCAUUGGGAUCGGCCCGCGGCCCAUUCGCUUGUUGGUGAGGUAAUGGCUCACCAAGGCUGCGGUGGGUAGCUGGUCUGAGAGGACGAUCAGCCACACUGGGACUGAGACCCGCCCCAGACUCCUACGGGAGGCAGCAGUGGGGAAUCUUGCGCAAUGCGCGAAAGCGUGACGCAGCAACGCCGCGUGGGGGAAGAAGGCCUUCGGGUUGUAAACCCCUUUCAGGAGGGACGAAGCUCCGGCCGUUAAUAGCGGACCGGGGUAACGGUACCUCCAGAAGAAGCCCCGGCUAACUACGUGCCAGCAGCCGCCGUAA
Molecule: ribosomal RNA, 509 nt
Filed under: uncultured bacterium
Lineage: Bacteria
Description: partial 16S ribosomal RNA
Rfam family: Bacterial small subunit ribosomal RNA
Source: RNAcentral